AUUUGCAGCUCAUGAAAUGCAAUGACCUAAGGAAUCAGGAAUAAUCUUUGGGAGUGAUCUUCGAGAUUAUAGCCCAGGAGAAGAUCUGUCUUGGAAGUCACAUAGAUGUGCGAUCAACAAAACCAACUAAAGAUUUGAUUCCACUUCCUAACAUUAUAAAGUUUCUGUGAUUGAAAGUACAGUUCCUGUUGACCUGUGAAUCUCACUGCUAGGCACAUACUCAAGAAAAUUAAAAAAAAAAGAAAAGAGAAGAAAAGAAAAGUACCAUAUGCGCCAAAUUGGUCAGGUCAAUAAUUUUGGUUUUCAAGGAUUUGAAACAUAGUAGAUUUCCACUGAC
Molecule: long non-coding RNA, 337 nt
Filed under: Monodelphis domestica (gray short-tailed opossum)
Lineage: Eukaryota; Metazoa; Chordata; Mammalia; Didelphimorphia; Didelphidae
Description: lncRNA (ENSMODG00000050283.1)
Source: RNAcentral